GGGAUAUUGGACAAUGGGGGGAACCCUGAUCCAGCGACGCCGCGUGAGUGAAGAAGUAUCUCGGUAUGUAACGCUCUAUCAGCAGGGAAGAAGAAAUGACGGUACCUGAGUAAGAAGCCCCGGCUAACUACGUGCCAGCAGCCGCGGUAAUACGUAGGGAGCAAGCGUUGUUCGGAAUGACUGGGCGUAAAGGGUGCGUAGGCGGUUGUACAAGUUAGAAGUGAAAUACCCAGGGCUUAACUCGGGUGCUGCUUCUAAAACUGUAUGACUUGAGUGCAGUAGAGGUUAGUGGAAUUCCUAGUGUAGCGGUGGAAUGCGUAGAUAUUAGGAGGAACACCAGAGGCGAAGGCGGCUAACUGGACUGCAACUGACGCUGAGGCACGAAAGUGUGGGGAGCAAACAG
Molecule: ribosomal RNA, 403 nt
Filed under: uncultured bacterium
Lineage: Bacteria
Description: bacterial SSU rRNA
Rfam family: Bacterial small subunit ribosomal RNA
Source: RNAcentral